GGCCCGUUCGUCUAGGGGUUAGGACAGCAGAUUUUCAUUCUGUAAACAGGGGUUCGAUUCCCCUACGGGCUACCA
Molecule: transfer RNA, 75 nt
Filed under: Flavobacteriales bacterium
Lineage: Bacteria; Pseudomonadati; Bacteroidota; Flavobacteriia; Flavobacteriales
Also listed under: 1 other name
Description: tRNA-Glu
Rfam family: tRNA
About the family: Transfer RNA (tRNA) molecules are approximately 80 nucleotides in length. Their secondary structure includes four short double-helical elements and three loops (D, anti-codon, and T loops).
Source: RNAcentral